Molecule: ribosomal RNA, 483 nt
Filed under: Escherichia coli
Lineage: Bacteria; Pseudomonadati; Pseudomonadota; Gammaproteobacteria; Enterobacterales; Enterobacteriaceae
Description: bacterial SSU rRNA
Rfam family: Bacterial small subunit ribosomal RNA
Source: RNAcentral
UUAAAUUGAAGAGUUUGAUCAUGGCUCAGAUUGAACGCUGGCGGCAGGCCUAACACAUGCAAGUCGAACGGUAACAGGAAGAAGCUUGCUUCUUUGCUGACGAGUGGCGGACGGGGGAGUAAUGUCUGGGAAACUGCCUGAUGGAGGGGGAUAACUACUGGAAACGGUAGCUAAUACCGCAUAACGUCGCAAGACCAAAGAGGGGGACCUUCGGGCCUCUUGCCAUCGGAUGUGCCCAGAUGGGAUUAGCUUGUUGGUGGGGUAACGGCUCACCAAGGCGACGAUCCCUAGCUGGUCUGAGAGGAUGACCAGCCACACUGGAACUGAGACACGGUCCAGACUCCUACGGGAGGCAGCAGUGGGGAAUAUUGCACAAUGGGCGCAAGCCUGAUGCAGCCAUGCCGCGUGUAUGAAGAAGGCCUUCGGGUUGUAAAGUACUUUCAGCGGGGAGGAAGGGAGUAAAGUUAAUACCUUUGCUCAUUG